CACAGGGAGAAGGCAGCCGUCUACAAGUCAAAGAAAGAGACCUCAAGAGAAACCAACCCCGCUGACACCAGGACUUGAUCUUGGACUUCCAGCCUCCAGAACUUUUCCUUGAUGAAGUUUGUUAGGAAUCCUAGAACUGAGUGUCCGUUGAUCAUCAUCAGAUUAAACUUUUUAAAAACCAUGUGCUGAGAACUCAAACAAUAAAUUGGAGGUCUAUACGGAACAAAUAUAAGGAAACACUUAUAGAUACUGAUUUAAACACAGUCCCUGGCUUCUAGUUCCCUUCCCCCAAACCUCCAACUGGGGCAAACGCAUAGAGUCAUCAGGAAUCAACAGCAAUGCAACUAUAAAUUCAAAAUGGUAGCUGGUGGACAAAAGGCUGAAAGCAGCUGCUCUAGGGGGAAAAAAGAAAGACAAAAAGACAAAAUAAUGCCACCCCAUUCACUCCAACCCAUCCCCACCAAGAAAAGAAAAGAAGAGGACUAACUGAAUAUAAGGAAAACCAAGAAUUAAGCUCUCUUUUUU
Molecule: long non-coding RNA, 525 nt
Organism: Lagenorhynchus albirostris (white-beaked dolphin)
Lineage: Eukaryota; Metazoa; Chordata; Mammalia; Artiodactyla; Delphinidae
Exons: 3
Source: RefSeq, a predicted model, not a curated record